AUACUUACCUGGCAGAGGAGAUACCAUGAUCAUGAAGGUGGUUUUCUCAGGGUGAGGCUCAUUUAUUGAACUGCGGGUCUGCUGACCUCUGUGAUUUCCCCAAAUAUAAUUUAUAAUUUGUAGUAGUGGGGGACUGCAUUCACACUUUCCGCUG
This is a small nuclear RNA of Chrysemys picta bellii (western painted turtle), 154 nucleotides long. Its record names the gene U1. It matches the Rfam family "U1 spliceosomal RNA". From Rfam's summary of the family: U1 is a small nuclear RNA (snRNA) component of the spliceosome (involved in pre-mRNA splicing). Its 5' end forms complementary base pairs with the 5' splice junction, thus defining the 5' donor site of an intron. Lineage: Eukaryota; Metazoa; Chordata; Testudines; Emydidae. The record is from Ensembl.